This 175-nucleotide unclassified non-coding RNA is filed under the name uncultured Ascomycota. RNAcentral's name for it is "sequence contains ITS2". The record is from RNAcentral. Lineage: Eukaryota; Fungi; Ascomycota.
UGAAGCAACCCUCAAGCCCCCUGGCUUGGUGCUGGGCCUCCUUGGCUGGCGGGCUCUCCGCCGGCCGGCCCCAAACCCAGUUGGCGGCGGGAUCCGACCCCCGGGCGAAGCAAGGUCUUUUCCACCCUCGCCCGCGGGUGCUGGUCGUGCCGCCGGUGAUGCAGCAGCAGAUGAG